Manihot esculenta (cassava) is the source of this 2235-nucleotide RNA transcript. It is a transcript of the gene named hydroxymethylglutaryl-CoA lyase, mitochondrial, with no coding region annotated. The record is from RefSeq and is a predicted model, not a curated record. Lineage: Eukaryota; Viridiplantae; Streptophyta; Magnoliopsida; Malpighiales; Euphorbiaceae. The transcript has 10 exons.
CUUCUGUUCUAAUUGUCCUUCCAUUCCUGUUUCCUUUUCUGGAUAUGAUUUGUGCAAAUAUAUAUAUUGCUUCGCAUCGCUGAUAAUAGCUGUAUUUUUCAACAAGUGCUCUAGCUCCGUCGAUUUUGCAAUGUUAGCCUCAAAGAAGUCUCUCCAAAAGCUUUACCGGUGUUGUACCAUUUUUCCCUCGAUGAUCAAUUCAGGCGAUAGCUGGUUGCUCAAAGGGCACACUUCGUUCCAAGCUUCCUGUUCAGAAACUGCCAAUGAUGCACGAGAGAGGAUAUUUUGGAGUGGACAAAGAAGAAAUGUAUCUCGGGUUGGUUCCUUGACUCCGACAUGUGCAGUGUUUCGUGGGAAUUCUUUAGACAUUGAUAAUCUUUGCCAUGAUUGGCACUUGUCAAAUCGUUGUUACACUUCCCUAUCAAAUUACAAAUCAACAAGAGGAUCUUCUGAUAAGCUUUUAGGAAGCAUUCCCAAAUAUGUAAAGAUGGUGGAAGUCGGUCCAAGGGAUGGAUUACAAAAUGAGAAGGAUGUUGUACCUACUCAUGUGAAGGUUGAGUUGAUUAGGAUGUUAGUUUCUUCUGGGUUGCCUGUUGUCGAAGCAACGAGUUUUGUCUCACCAAAAUGGGUACCACAGCUAGCUGAUGCAACGGAUGUAAUGGCAGCAAUUAGAGAUCUCGAAGGUGCUAGAUUUCCAGUGUUGACUCCUAAUCUGAAAGGUUUCGAAGCAGCUGUUGCAACUGGAGCAAAGGAAGUUGCAAUCUUUGCAUCAGCAUCAGAAUCUUUCUCAAAGUCAAAUAUCAAUUGCAGCAUUGAAGAUAGUCUGAUUCGUUAUGGUGAUGUUGCCCUUGCUGCCAGCAAACUUUCAAUACCUGUUCGUGGAUAUAUAUCAUGUGUUGUGGGGUGUCCAGUAGAGGGAAUGAUAUCUCCAUCAAAAGUAGCAUAUGUUGCUAAACGACUUUGUGAUAUGGGUUGCUUUGAAAUUUCUCUUGGUGACACAAUUGGUGUUGGUACUCCUGGUACUGUAAUUCCAAUGCUUGAAGCUGUUCUUGAUGUUGUCCCUGUUGAUAAGCUUGCUGUGCACUUUCACGACACCUAUGGUCAAGCUCUUUCAAAUAUUCUAGCAUCACUCCUAAUGGGGAUCAACACUGUUGAUUCAUCAGUAUCUGGUCUUGGAGGUUGCCCAUAUGCUAAGGGGGCUUCUGGUAAUGUUGCUACUGAAGAUGUUGUCUACAUGCUCAAUGGUCUUGGAGUUGAGACGAAUGUGGAUCUCCAAAAGGUCAUAUUAGCAGGAAAUUUCAUCUGUAAGCAUUUGGGGCGGCCUUCUGGUUCAAAAGCAGCAAUUGCCUUGAGCAAAGUAACAGCUCAUGCCUCCAAACUUUAAGAUAUUACUAGAGCAGGAUGAUAUCACAAUCAUGGAAACAGGAAGAGACUUGUAACAACGACUCUCUCCAUCAAUUGGCUUCUUGUAUGAGAACUGAAACAUUUGAUGAGCACUAUAGUAAGCAAAGAGACCUUUUCACAUCUCACCACCACCACCAAAAGGAUCGCCGGACUGUCAUCGGCCAGCCGUACGCUGAAAAGCCACAUGUGUGAGGCUCACGUGCCCUUCCUUCCCGACGCGUGAGAUCUGACAGACGCUACUUCGCUGCUCACUCCACUUCGACACUGUUUUCGACCCACUUUUCGGCCAUCCCGUGCUGCUACCUGGUCCUUUGCUGAUUUGGUUGGACUCUCUUAUGUGUACAACUUUGGGUACCUCCUAUUCAUUUACGGUUCAUUUAUUUUUACUAUGGCAGAGGGUAAAAAGUCUUGAUUCCUAACUCUAAUAAUCAUUAAUUAUAAAUUAGUUCUGUAAAACUUGAUAGAACCAAUUAUCUUGCUUGGUCAAGGUCUUAUUUGUUGUUUAUCAAGACUAGAAGAUUGUAGAGCUAUAUCACUGGGAAUAAGAAGGAACUAGAUGAAAGUGAUUCAAUUUUUUUUCGAUGGGAAUCAGAUAAUUAUCUUGUUAUGAUAUGGUUACUUAAUUCUAUGCAAUCUCGUAUUUCCAAAUCCUAUUUGUUAAUUGAUACUACUGCAAAGAUAUGGAAGGCUUUGUCUUUAACUUAUUCCAAAAUUGGAAAUGGUACCCAAAUUUAUGGCAUUCGAAAUAAAAUCUAUGUUACUAAGCAAUGAGAAAUGACUAUCUCCCAAUUUUAUUCUGAGUUAUGUGGUUUAUGGUAAGAGCUUUACUAU